GUGACGCUACCACCGCCUGCCUGUCUGCUUCGCCCGCCGCGGCUUCCUCCCCUCUGCACGCGGUGCGGUGCCGUUGCCUGUUUUUUUUUAGUACUCCAACUCUAGCUUUUCGGCGUGAAUUAUAGUAGUAGUAGUAUUUUGAAUAGGGGUACGUAUAUAUUCUUCUGCGUAUAUUCUUGUGCGUAGGUAGGAAACGGAGUGCUGAGCACCAGCUGUACGCUGAGCUCGUCAACCAAUUGUCAAUCUUUACGAAUGGAGUAUUUUGCCU
RNAcentral lists this small RNA (268 nucleotides) under Oryza sativa Japonica Group (Japanese rice). RNAcentral's name for it is "sRNA Os04g0610301". Lineage: Eukaryota; Viridiplantae; Streptophyta; Magnoliopsida; Poales; Poaceae. The record is from RNAcentral.